This 580-nucleotide ribosomal RNA is filed under the name uncultured bacterium. Its description in RNAcentral is "bacterial SSU rRNA". It matches the Rfam family "Bacterial small subunit ribosomal RNA", at positions 32 to 610 of the family's 1533-position model. The record is from RNAcentral.
AACGCUGGCGGCGUGCUUAACAGAUGCAAGUCGAGUGCGCGUUUCCGUAGCAAUACGGGAAUGGCGCACGGCGCACGGGUGCGUAACACGUGGGUAAUCUGCCCUCUGAUGGGGAAUAACUCGCCGAAAGGCGAGCUAAUACCGCAUAGCAUUCCUUGGACUCCGGUUCGAGGAUUCAAAGGCGUAAGUCGUCGGAGGAGGAGCCCGCGCACGAUUAGCUAGUUGGUAGGGUAACGGCCUACCAAGGCUAUGAUCGUUAGCUGGUCUGAGAGGAUGGCCAGCCACACUGGAACUGAGACACGGUCCAGACUCCUACGGGAGGCAGCAGUGGGGAAUCUUGCACAAUGGGCGAAAGCCUGAUGCAGCGACGCCGCGUGGGGGAUGAAGCUUCUCGGAGUGUAAACCCCUUUCGACCGGGACGAAUACCUCGCAAGAGGGGUGACGGUACCGGUAUAAGAAGCCCCGGCUAACUACGUGCCAGCAGCCGCGGUAAGACGUAGGGGGCCAGCGUUGCUCGGAAUUACUGGGUGUAAAGGGUUCGUANGCGGUGUGGCAAGUCGGGAGUGAAAUCUCUGGGCUC